This 1515-nucleotide ribosomal RNA is filed under the name metagenome. RNAcentral's name for it is "bacterial SSU rRNA". It matches the Rfam family "Bacterial small subunit ribosomal RNA". The record is from RNAcentral.
AGAGUUUGAUCAUGGCUCAGGAUGAACGCUGGCGGCGUGCUUAACACAUGCAAGUCGAACGGGAAACCUUUUAUUGAAGCUUCGGCAGAUUUAACUGGUUUCUAGUGGCGGACGGGUGAGUAACGCGUGGGUAACCUGCCUUGUACAGGGGGAUAACAGUCAGAAAUGACUGCUAAUACCGCAUAAGCGCACAGGACCGCAUGGUCCGGUGUGAAAAACUCCGGUGGUAUAAGAUGGACCCGCGUUGGAUUAGCUUGUUGGUGGGGUAACGGCCCACCAAGGCGACGAUCCAUAGCCGGCCUGAGAGGGUGAACGGCCACAUUGGGACUGAGACACGGUCCAGACUCCUACGGGAGGCAGCAGUGGGGAAUCUUCCGCAAUGGGCGCAAGCCUGACGGAGCAACGCCGCGUGAGUGAAGAAGGGUUUCGACUCGUAAAGCUCUGUUGUCGGGGACGAACGUGGAGACGGCAAAUAGUCGUUUCCAAUGACGGUACCUGACGAGGAAGCCACGGCUAACUACGUGCCAGCAGCCGCGGUAAUACGUAGGUGGCGAGCGUUGUCCGGAAUUAUUGGGCGUAAAGGGAGCGCAGGCGGGAAGGUAAGUCUAUCUUAAAAGUGCGGGGCUCAACCCCGUGAGGGGAUGGAAACUAUCUUUCUUGAGUGCAGGAGAGGAAAGCGGAAUUCCUAGUGUAGCGGUGAAAUGCGUAGAUAUUAGGAGGAACACCAGUGGCGAAGGCGGCUUUCUGGACUGUAACUGACGCUGAGGCUCGAAAGCGUGGGGAGCGAACAGGAUUAGAUACCCUGGUAGUCCACGCCGUAAACGAUGAAUGCUAGGUGUAGGAGGUAUCGACCCCUUCUGUGCCGGAGUUAACGCAAUAAGCAUUCCGCCUGGGGAGUACGGCCGCAAGGCUGAAACUCAAAGGAAUUGACGGGGGCCCGCACAAGCGGUGGAGUAUGUGGUUUAAUUCGACGCAACGCGAAGAACCUUACCAGGGCUUGACAUUGAGUGAAAGGACAAGAGAUUGUCCCCUCUCUUCGGAGACACGAAAACAGGUGGUGCAUGGCUGUCGUCAGCUCGUGUCGUGAGAUGUUGGGUUAAGUCCCGCAACGAGCGCAACCCUUAUCCUUUGUUGCCAGCACGUUAUGGUGGGAACUCAAAGGAGACUGCCGCGGACAACGCGGAGGAAGGCGGGGAUGACGUCAAGUCAUCAUGCCCCUUAUGUCCUGGGCUACACACGUACUACAAUGGGAUGGACAGAGAGCAGCGAAGCCGCGAGGCCAAGCGAACCCCAUAAACCAUCUCCCAGUUCGGAUUGCAGGCUGCGACCCGCCUGCAUGAAGUUGGAAUCGCUAGUAAUCGCAGGUCAGCAUACUGCGGUGAAUACGUUCCCGGGCCUUGUACACACCGCCCGUCACACCACGGAAGUUAUUCACACCCGAAGCCGGCAGGCUAACCUUUUGGAGGCAGCCGUCUAAGGUGGGGGCGAUGACUGGGGUGAAGUCGUAACAAGGUA